RNAcentral lists this ribosomal RNA (208 nucleotides) under uncultured bacterium. RNAcentral describes it as "partial 16S ribosomal RNA". It matches the Rfam family "Bacterial small subunit ribosomal RNA", at positions 568 to 775 of the family's 1533-position model. The record is from RNAcentral.
CUCGUAGGCUGCCAACUAAGUCAGACGUGAAAUCCCUCGGCUUAACCGGGGAACUGCGUCUGAUACUGGAUGGCUUGAGAUCGGGAGAGGGAUGCGGAAUUCCAGGUGUAGCGGUGAAAUGCGUAGAUAUCUGGAGGAACACCGGUGGCGAAGGCGGCAUCCUGGACCGACACUGACGCUGAGGAGCGAAAGCCAGGGGAGACAAACG